This 29-nucleotide non-coding RNA is filed under the name Rattus norvegicus (Norway rat). The record is from RNAcentral. Lineage: Eukaryota; Metazoa; Chordata; Mammalia; Rodentia; Muridae.
GGCCUGCAUAGUUCUCACUUGGAAUAGUC